UGCUGUUGGUCAUAACCCCACUUUUGCAAGGGUGGGGGAGUUGGCUGAUCUGGUACCUGACAAUUGACCAUCCAUAUUAAUCUGAUAAUAUUUGAAAAUCUGCUGGAUCUUAUUGGAGAGAAGCAAGGUGCAGAUGCCAAAACAGCCUUUAAGAAAGUCACAGAUCUAAUAUAUGAAGAAAUAAAAGCUGCAUAUUGAUGUACUGUGUACUAGAGUUUGAAUAAAACAUUUCAAAAACUGAAA
Long non-coding RNA from Protopterus annectens (West African lungfish), 243 nucleotides. RefSeq lists it as uncharacterized. The transcript is spliced from 2 exons. The record is from RefSeq and is a predicted model, not a curated record. Lineage: Eukaryota; Metazoa; Chordata; Ceratodontiformes; Protopteridae.